Vicia faba (fava bean) is the source of this 204-nucleotide non-coding RNA. The record is from the annotation of a GenBank genome assembly. Lineage: Eukaryota; Viridiplantae; Streptophyta; Magnoliopsida; Fabales; Fabaceae.
AUGGGAAACGGUCCUAGCUCUCUCUUUUACUGUUCCUAUUUGCAAAGCUUCGUAGACCGCAUCAACACCAACGAGAAGCUUCCAUGUUCUCUCUUUGAAGCAAGCAAGGAUUCUUUUCUCUCCUCUGUUGCAAGUUUUCCGGAGGCUAGUUUGAGUAUUUCCCAUCAACAUAUUGGUGUAUCCUUCAGUCUUCUGUGUUGGUAA